Zingiber officinale is the source of this 886-nucleotide long non-coding RNA. RefSeq lists it as uncharacterized. Lineage: Eukaryota; Viridiplantae; Streptophyta; Magnoliopsida; Zingiberales; Zingiberaceae. The transcript is spliced from 2 exons. The record is from RefSeq and is a predicted model, not a curated record.
UUUUUUAUCUCGUCUGCCCCGAAUCAUUCCCUGCCGCACCUCACCUGAUCAAAAACCCUUCUCCAUUGCCAAAACCCUCGCCGCCCCUCGUGAGCCCUCUCUUCCCUCUUUUUUGGCACAUGGUUUACCUUCGUCAGUGUCCUCCUCCUUCUCUUCUCAUCCACCGCCCUUGUUGUCGUCUCCUCUGUUCCCUAUCAGGACAUCCUCACCCUCUCCAAGCAAGAUAGAGUUGUCCCCAUCCGUAUCGACGAGGAGGUGAGAAUGCUCUGCCUGGAGUGGAGGGCCAAGCAUCUCCCCGUCGAAAACAACCAAUAUCUGGAUGAAUACUGACUCAAGGUCUUCAAGGAGAACCUCCGGAUCAUGGAAGAGCACAAUUCGAUGGCCGACCAUGGGGAGCACACCUACCGCCUCAGGAUGAACUGGUUCUCUGACGUCACCAACGGGGAGUACUUGCCAGGUUCCUCAAGGACUUUAGAUCCGCCUCUCAGAAGAUCAGCAAUCGGUACCGGCUGAGAGAAGGGGAUCUGCCUGAUUCCAUCGAUUGGAGGUAGAAGGUGCUGUCAUCACCAUAAAGGAUCAUCUCGACUGCGGCUACAGGUUGGAAGCUUGAUGAAGCUGUACAACUCUUCUAUAUCAGCAAUGAAAGUGGUAGGGUGGAGUCAUCUUUCUUAUCUUGACGGAUUAAUGGAAUUACUAGGUGGUCUUCCACUAAACCUAUGAAAAUUAGAGUGUGUUUUUGUUGAAUAUAGUUUGCGAUGACUUUUUCUUUUCUUUAAAAUUUUUGUUUCUUCAAUGAGGAAAAUAUUCUUAAUUGCCUUAACAUUUUCAUAAUUUAUGUACUUCUAUUAACUUAAUUUGCAUAAUUCUAUCUAUUGUUGUGUGAUAA